RNAcentral lists this long non-coding RNA (1172 nucleotides) under Lactuca sativa (garden lettuce). RNAcentral's name for it is "long non-coding RNA (LSAT_LNC002531)". Lineage: Eukaryota; Viridiplantae; Streptophyta; Magnoliopsida; Asterales; Asteraceae. The record is from RNAcentral.
GAAACAGAAGAAUUGGAGAAGUACAACUACACUCUCACUCCUUACACCAAUAAGACCUGCGAACCGUCUAACACCAAACAAAGGUCAAACAUCAGUCCAUAAUCCAAAACCCUCAAGUUUGACCCAAGGUCAAACUGGUCAAAGGUCAACGGUUACCAAAUUCAAAGGCCACCACACCGUGGCCAAUUUAGACAAAAUAGACGUAACAAAACCCACCACCAUAUGGUGGCGAACCAUCCACCACAUUAUGGUGCACUCCCACAACAACAUAAUGGAUUAAGCACUUAACCCUUCCUCGUCAGAGAUCAAAAUCUCAUAUCUGAUGCCUCUAAUGGUCUUAAUGGAUAAUGUUUCCAAUUUUAUCCCUUAUCAUGUCUCAAAUGCAUGCAAACUCCAAACCUAACUUCUAAAUGAACCAAAACACAAGCUUGUCCUCAAGAGAGAACAUGCAAACACACAUUUCUUCCCAUAUUCAAGUCCAGAAAUCAUGUGGGUCACUCAAAGGUCCUGGAAUUGCUCAACUCCAAGGAUAUCCAAGGAAUGGACUCAAAACUACUCAAAGUGUGCAUAACUUAAAUAUAUUAAAGCAAAGGUCAAGUUAUGGACUUUAUACCUCAAAGGAUUCAAAGAUCUAAAGUUGAUGAUGGAUCUAUGCUAACUCCUUGCCUCCUUGCACCAAGAUGAAGUCCCUUCUUCCUCAAGCUUCACAAAAUUAAGAGGACAAGCUAAAAAACAAGAGAAAAAGCUCAACCAUUGAGCAUGAGGGAUAGGGUUUCGAUUCCAAAAGAGGAUAAAAACUAGGAAUAAAACACAAGUUGUAACCACAUACAUCUUUAGUUUUCUUGCUUUAUCUUGCAAACUGCCCAAUUUCACCUUAUGUUUGUUGAUUGUUCUCAACAACCCCUGUACCACAACAGUUGAUCAUUGACAUAUAUGUAUAUCAAUGCAACCAAUAAUUCCAAAUCAAGAAUCCUACCUAAGUAUAAAAAAAGUAAAAGGAUUGAGCUACAAUCGAAUUAAAACCCUUACCCUAUUUUGAUUUUUGUAACUUGUUUAAGGUAUGCGUGGAAUCAACGAUUAUGGUUUAGUGAAGUCCAGGACGUUCACGCUUUACAAAAAACAAAGGACCAUUGUUAAAGGAGUGGAGAAGAAAAACAAUAACGAGAAAGAAA